GGUAUUUUGACUAUACAAAGGUAUUGUAAUAAGACUUUAAUUGAGUGCUAAAAGAAUGGACUUUCAAAAAAAUACUUUCUUGAAUUUAAUAAUUGAAUUUAUUUUUAUUUGUGAAGAAACAAUAAUUAACAUUAAGGACAAGAAGACCCUAAGAAUUUUUGAGUUUAACUAAAAAAGUUUUUUUAUUUAAAUUCUUAAUUGGGGCGAUUAAAAAAUAUUUUUAACUUUUUUUAAAAAAAAAAUGACCCAUUAAUAAUGAUUAAUUGUAUUAAAUACUCUAGGGAUAACAGCGUAAUAAUUUUAGAUAGAUCGUAUAGAAAAAAUAGUUUGCGACCUCGAUGUUGGAUUAGGAUUUCUAUUUAAUGCAGAAGUUAAAAAUAGAAAGUUUGUUCAACUUUUAAAAUCCU
RNAcentral lists this ribosomal RNA (407 nucleotides) under Haemaphysalis juxtakochi. Its description in RNAcentral is "partial 16S ribosomal RNA". Lineage: Eukaryota; Metazoa; Arthropoda; Arachnida; Ixodida; Ixodidae. The record is from RNAcentral.